This 253-nucleotide ribosomal RNA is filed under the name uncultured bacterium. Its description in RNAcentral is "partial 16S ribosomal RNA". It matches the Rfam family "Bacterial small subunit ribosomal RNA", at positions 524 to 776 of the family's 1533-position model. The record is from RNAcentral.
UACGUAGGUGACAAGCGUUGUCCGGAUUUACUGGGUGUAAAGGGCGCGUAGGCGGGAUAGCAAGUCAGUCGUGAAAUGCCGAGGCUUAACCUCGGAGCUGCGAUUGAGACUGUUAUUCUUGAGUAUCGGAGAGGAAAGCGGAAUUCCUAGUGUAGCGGUGAAAUGCGUAGAUAUUCGGAGGAACACCGGUGGCGAAGGCGGCCAACUGGGCUUUAACUGACGCUGAGGCUCGAAAGUGUGGGGAGCAAACAGG